UAAUACGUAGGGAGCAAGCGUUGUCCGGAUUCACUGGGUGUAAAGGGUGCGCAGGCGGGUUGGCAAGUCAGAGGUGAAAUCUCACGGCUUAACCGUGAAACUGCCUUUGAUACUGCUGAUCUUGAGUUAGAGAGAGGUUGAUGGAAUUCCAGGUGUAGCGGUGAAAUGCGUAGAUAUCUGGAAGAACACCGGUGGCGAAGGCGGUCAACUGGCUCUACACUGACGCUCAGGCACGAAAGCGUGGGUAGCGAACAGGAUUAGAUACCCUGGUAGUCCACGCCCUAAACGAUGAAUACUUGGUGUUGGUCCGUAAGGAUCAGUGCCGUAGGUAACCUGAUAAGUAUUCCACCUGGGGAGUACGCUCGCAAGGGUG
This 373-nucleotide ribosomal RNA is filed under the name uncultured bacterium. Its description in RNAcentral is "bacterial SSU rRNA". It matches the Rfam family "Bacterial small subunit ribosomal RNA", at positions 521 to 896 of the family's 1533-position model. The record is from RNAcentral.